CUUAACACAUGCAAGUCGAGCGAGAAAGGGGAGCAAUCCCUGAGUACAGCGGCGUACGGGUGAGUAACACGUGGGUAAUCUACCUUCGAGUGGGGGAUAACCCUGGGAAACCGGGGCUAAUACCGCAUGAGCCUGAGAAGGGAAAGCAGCAAUGCGCUGGAAGAGGAGCCCGCGGCCGAUUAGCUAGUUGGUGAGGUAACGGCCCACCAAGGCGAUGAUCGGUAGCCGGCCUGAGAGGGCACACGGCCACACUGGCACUGAAACACGGGCCAGACUCCUACGGGAGGCAGCAGUGGGGAAUCUUGCACAAUGGAGGCAACUCUGAUGCAGCGACGCCGCGUGAGCGAUGAAGCCCUUCGGGGUGUAAAGCUCUUUCGGCAGGGACGAUAAUGACGGUACCUGAAGAAGAAGCUGCGGCUAACUACGUGCCAGCAGCCGCGGUAAUACGUAGGCAGCGAGCGUUGUUCGGAAUUACUGGGCGUAAAGAGUGUGUAGGCGGUGCUCUAAGUUCGGUGUGAAAU
This 521-nucleotide ribosomal RNA is filed under the name uncultured bacterium. Its description in RNAcentral is "bacterial SSU rRNA". It matches the Rfam family "Bacterial small subunit ribosomal RNA", at positions 47 to 600 of the family's 1533-position model. The record is from RNAcentral.